GCUUAACACAUGCAAGUCGAGGGGCAGCGGGGAGGAAGCUUGCUUUCUCCGCCGGCGACCGGCGCACGGGUGAGUAACACGUAUGCAACCUGCCCCUGUCAGGGGGACAACCCGCCGAAAGGCGGGCUAAACCCGCGUACAUGCCACCGGGGCAUCCCGGAGGCAGGAAAGGCUUCGGCCGGACAGGGAUGGGCAUGCGGCGCAUUAGGCAGUAGGCGGGGUAACGGCCCACCUAACCGACGAUGCGUAGGGGUUCUGAGAGGAAGGUCCCCCACACUGGUACUGAGACACGGACCAGACUCCUACGGGAGGCAGCAGUGAGGAAUAUUGGUCAAUGGUCGGGAGACUGAACCAGCCAAGCCGCGUGAGGGAUGAAGGUACAGAGUAUCGUAAACCUCUUUUGUCAGGGAACAAAGGCGGGGACGUGUCCCCGGAUGAGUGUACCUGAAGAAAAAGCAUCGGCUAACUCCGUGCCAGCAGCCGCGGUAAUACGGAGGAUGCGAGCGUUAUCCGGAUUUAUUGGGUUUAAAGGGUGCGCAGGCGGUCUGUUAAGUCAGCGGUCAAAGCCCGGGGCUCAACCCCGGCCCGCCGUUGAAACUGGCAGUCUCGAGUUGGAGAGAAGUAUGCGGAAUGCGCGGUGUAGCGGUGAAAUGCAUAGAUAUCGCGCAGAACUCCGAUUGCGAAGGCAGCAUGCCGGCUCCACACUGACGCUGAGGCACGAAAGCGUGGGUAUCGAACAGGAUUAGAUACCCUGGUAGUCCACGCAGUAAACGAUGAAUGCUGCGUGUCCGGGGGGACUGACCCCUGGGUGGCGAAGCGAAAGCGAUAAGCAUUCCCCCUGGGGAGUACGCCGGCAACGGUGAAACUCAAAGGAAUUGACGGGGGCCCGCACAAGCGGAGGAACAUGUGGUUUAAUUCGAUGAUACGCGAGGAACCUUACCCGGGCUCAAACGGGGAGUGACUCAGGCAGAGACGCCUGUUUCCCACGGGACACUCCCCGAGGUGCUGCAUGGUUGUCGUCAGCUCGUGCCGUGAGGUGUCGGCUUAAGUGCCAUAACGAGCGCAACCCCCGCGUGCAGUUGCUAACAGUCAACGCUGAGGACUCUGCACGGACUGCCGGCGCAAGCCGCGAGGAAGGCGGGGAUGACGUCAAAUCAGCACGGCCCUUACGUCCGGGGCGACACACGUGUUACAAUGGGUGGUACAGCGGGAAGCCAGGCGGCGACGCCGAGCGGAACCCGAAAUCCACUCUCAGUUCGGAUCGGAGUCUGCAACCCGACUCCGUGAAGCUGGAUUCGCUAGUAAUCGCGCAUCAGCCAUGGCGCGGUGAAUACGUUCCCGGGUCUUGUACACACCGCCCGUCAAGCCAUGGGAGCCGAGGGCGCUUGAAGU
Molecule: ribosomal RNA, 1392 nt
Filed under: uncultured bacterium
Lineage: Bacteria
Description: 16S ribosomal RNA
Rfam family: Bacterial small subunit ribosomal RNA
Source: RNAcentral